CACGAUCCGUAAGGAAGCGCGCUCCCUAUCGACCGACAACAACACUUCUGUGUCGCUCGAUUCCGCUCAACCACCGUCGACCCAGACACCAGUCCCGUCGACCGAUUCUCGCUCACCCCUGUCGAUCGACAACACAAACCUUCCAUCGACCGAUACCCUUCACCCGAAAUCGAUCGACAUUCCAUCUCGGACAUCGAUCGAUACUGAACCACGAGACAUGGUUGCGCCUUUGAUACUUGUUCGGGACAACAAUGGAGACAUGUGUGGGAACCGAAAUUCGCACUGUCGAUUUCCGUUUAAAUUAGGAAACUAAAAAAACCCUAAUUUCCCAGAGGUCUCAGAGAUCUGUUAAUACCACACACUAAGCAAUCAGAACAC
Molecule: long non-coding RNA, 378 nt
Filed under: Brassica napus (rape)
Lineage: Eukaryota; Viridiplantae; Streptophyta; Magnoliopsida; Brassicales; Brassicaceae
Description: long non-coding RNA (BNAP_LNC017829)
Source: RNAcentral